UUGAACGCUGGCGGCAGGCCUAACACAUGCAAGUCGAACGGUAACAGAAAGCAGCUUGCUGCUUUGCUGACGAGUGGCGGACGGGUGAGUAAUGUCUGGGAAACUGCCUGAUGGAGGGGGAUAACUACUGGAAACGGUAGCUAAUACCGCAUAACGUCGCAAGACCAAAGAGGGGGACCUUCGGGCCUCUUGCCAUCGGAUGUGCCCAGAUGGGAUUAGCUAGUAGGUGGGGUAACGGCUCACCUAGGCGACGAUCCCUAGCUGGUCUGAGAGGAUGACCAGCCACACUGGAACUGAGACACGGUCCAGACUCCUACGGGAGGCAGCAGUGGGGAAUAUUGCACAAUGGGCGCAAGCCUGAUGCAGCCAUGCCGCGUGUAUGAAGAAGGCCUUCGGGUUGUAAAGUACUUUCAGCGGGGAGGAAGGGAGUAAAGUUAAUACCUUUGCUCAUUGACGUUACCCGCAGAAGAAGCACCGGCUAACUCCGU
RNAcentral lists this ribosomal RNA (488 nucleotides) under uncultured bacterium. Its description in RNAcentral is "partial 16S ribosomal RNA". It matches the Rfam family "Bacterial small subunit ribosomal RNA", at positions 30 to 506 of the family's 1533-position model. The record is from RNAcentral.